UUUAGAAAUCGUGAGGGUUCAAGUCCCUCUAUCCCCA
Molecule: transfer RNA, 37 nt
Filed under: Allium ovalifolium
Lineage: Eukaryota; Viridiplantae; Streptophyta; Magnoliopsida; Asparagales; Amaryllidaceae
Description: tRNA-Leu
Source: RNAcentral